RNAcentral lists this ribosomal RNA (161 nucleotides) under uncultured Thermovirga sp. RNAcentral's name for it is "partial 16S ribosomal RNA". It matches the Rfam family "Bacterial small subunit ribosomal RNA", at positions 1221 to 1382 of the family's 1533-position model. Lineage: Bacteria; Thermotogati; Synergistota; Synergistia; Synergistales; Thermovirgaceae. The record is from RNAcentral.
CGUGCUACAAUGGCCGGCACAGCGGGAAGCAGGGGCGACCUUGAGCGGAUCCCUCAAAGCCGGUCUCAGUUCGGAUUGCAGUCUGCAACUCGACUGCAUGAAGUUGGAAUCGCUAGUAAUCGUGGAUCAGCCAAGCCGCGGUGAAUACGUUCCCGGGCCUU